CUACGGGCGGCUGCAGUGAGGAAUAUUGCACAAUGGGGGGAACCCUGAUGCAGCAACGCCGCGCGGAGGAUGACGCAUUUCGGUGUGUAAACUCCUAUUAUAUGUCAAGAAAACGACGGUAGCAUAUGAAUAAGCACCGGCUAACUCCGUGCCAGCAGCCGCGGUAAUACGGAGGGUGCAAGCGUUACUCGGAAUCACUGGGCGUAAAGGACGCGUAGGCGGGUUGGAAAGUCAGGUGUGAAAUCCUACAGCUUAACUGUAGAACUGCACUUGAAACUUCUAAUCUAGAGUAUGGGAGGGGGAGAUGGAAUUAGUGGUGUAGGGGUAAAAUCCGUAGAUAUCACUAGGAAUACCUAAAGCGAAGGCGAUCUCCUGGAACAUUACUGACGCUAAGGCGUGAAAGCGUGGGGAGCAAACAGGAUUAGAUACCCUCGUAGUC
Molecule: ribosomal RNA, 439 nt
Filed under: uncultured bacterium
Lineage: Bacteria
Description: partial 16S ribosomal RNA
Rfam family: Bacterial small subunit ribosomal RNA
Source: RNAcentral